CUACCCUUGACAUGUCCGAGAGCCUGGAGAGAUCCAGGUGUGCCCGAAAGGGAAUCGGAACACAGGUGCUGCAUGGCUGUCGUCAGCUCGUGUCGUGAGAUGUUGGGUUAAGUCCCGCAACGAGCGCAACCCUUGUCAUUAGUUGCUACAUUCAGUUGGGCACUCUAAUGAGACUGCCGGUGACAAACCGGAGGAAGGUGGGGAUGACGUCAAGUCCUCAUGGCCCUUAUGGGUAGGGCUUCACACGUAAUACAAUGGCGCGUACAGAGGGUUGCCAAGGAGCGAUCUGGAGCCAAUCCCGUAAAGCGCGUCGUAGUCCGGAUUGCAGUCUGCAACUCGACUGCAUGAAGUCGGAAUCGCCAGUAAUCGCGGAUCAGCAUGUCGCGGUGAAUA
This 393-nucleotide ribosomal RNA is filed under the name uncultured beta proteobacterium. RNAcentral's name for it is "bacterial SSU rRNA". It matches the Rfam family "Bacterial small subunit ribosomal RNA", at positions 975 to 1368 of the family's 1533-position model. Lineage: Bacteria; Pseudomonadati; Pseudomonadota; Betaproteobacteria. The record is from RNAcentral.